RNAcentral lists this ribosomal RNA (727 nucleotides) under Bacillus paralicheniformis. RNAcentral describes it as "bacterial SSU rRNA". It matches the Rfam family "Bacterial small subunit ribosomal RNA", at positions 105 to 816 of the family's 1533-position model. The record is from RNAcentral. Lineage: Bacteria; Bacillati; Bacillota; Bacilli; Caryophanales; Bacillaceae.
GGUGAGUAACACGUGGGUAACCUGCCUGUAAGACUGGGAUAACUCCGGGAAACCGGGGCUAAUACCGGAUGCUUGAUUGAACCGCAUGGUUCAAUUAUAAAAGGUGGCUUUUAGCUACCACUUACAGAUGGACCCGCGGCGCAUUAGCUAGUUGGUGAGGUAACGGCUCACCAAGGCAACGAUGCGUAGCCGACCUGAGAGGGUGAUCGGCCACACUGGGACUGAGACACGGCCCAGACUCCUACGGGAGGCAGCAGUAGGGAAUCUUCCGCAAUGGACGAAAGUCUGACGGAGCAACGCCGCGUGAGUGAUGAAGGUUUUCGGAUCGUAAAACUCUGUUGUUAGGGAAGAACAAGUACCGUUCGAAUAGGGCGGUACCUUGACGGUACCUAACCAGAAAGCCACGGCUAACUACGUGCCAGCAGCCGCGGUAAUACGUAGGUGGCAAGCGUUGUCCGGAAUUAUUGGGCGUAAAGCGCGCGCAGGCGGUUUCUUAAGUCUGAUGUGAAAGCCCCCGGCUCAACCGGGGAGGGUCAUUGGAAACUGGGGAACUUGAGUGCAGAAGAGGAGAGUGGAAUUCCACGUGUAGCGGUGAAAUGCGUAGAGAUGUGGAGGAACACCAGUGGCGAAGGCGACUCUCUGGUCUGUAACUGACGCUGAGGCGCGAAAGCGUGGGGAGCGAACAGGAUUAGAUACCCUGGUAGUCCACGCCGUAAACGAUGAGUGC